Molecule: transfer RNA, 72 nt
Filed under: Bos taurus (domestic cattle)
Lineage: Eukaryota; Metazoa; Chordata; Mammalia; Artiodactyla; Bovidae
Also listed under: 5 other names
Rfam family: tRNA
About the family: Transfer RNA (tRNA) molecules are approximately 80 nucleotides in length. Their secondary structure includes four short double-helical elements and three loops (D, anti-codon, and T loops).
Source: Rfam by way of RNAcentral
UCCUUGGUGGCUCAGACAGUAAAGAAUCUGCCUGCAAUGCAGGAGACUCAGGUUCAAUCCCUGGAGAAGGAU